RNAcentral lists this non-coding RNA (243 nucleotides) under Bacillus sp. (in: firmicutes). Its description in RNAcentral is "Bacillus sp. T-box sequence". It matches the Rfam family "T-box leader". Rfam says of the family: Uncharged tRNA acts as the effector for transcription antitermination of genes in the T-box leader family. T-boxes are found upstream of many aminoacyl-tRNA synthetase genes and some amino acid biosynthetic genes usually in Gram-positive bacteria. The record is from RNAcentral. Lineage: Bacteria; Bacillati; Bacillota; Bacilli; Caryophanales; Bacillaceae.
UGAAAAGCUUUGAAUGGGAAGAGUACGCGGCAGAAGGCUGUUAGAGAGAGGAAUCCACCGGCUGAAAGAUUCCUUCAGUAACCAAAUCCGCAGAAGGUCGCCCAGGAGCUGUUUUCGUGAACCUGUUGAAAGUAGCGAGAACCGGUGAAGAGCCGUUAUGAUGAAUGAAGAGCCGGAGGCAUGCUUAUUCAGCAUGUGCCGGAAUGAAGGUGGUACCGCGAGACUAACCGUUUCGUCCUUUUG